UACGGAGGGUGCAAGCGUUAAUCGGAAUUACUGGGCGUAAAGGGUGCGUAGGUGGUCUGAUAAGUUAUCUGUGAAAUCCCUGGGCUCAACCUGGGCAGGUCAGAUAAUACUGUUGGACUCGAGUAUGGGAGAGGGUAGUGGAAUUUCCGGUGUAGCGGUGAAAUGCGUAGAGAUCGGAAGGAACACCAGUGGCGAAGGCGGCUACCUGGCCUAAUACUGACACUGAGGCACGAAAGCGUGGGGAGCAAACAGG
Molecule: ribosomal RNA, 253 nt
Filed under: uncultured Legionella sp.
Lineage: Bacteria; Pseudomonadati; Pseudomonadota; Gammaproteobacteria; Legionellales; Legionellaceae
Description: partial 16S ribosomal RNA
Rfam family: Bacterial small subunit ribosomal RNA
Source: RNAcentral